GUCUGGUUCCAGAGCAGUGGUGUUUACAACUAAUUGAUCUCAACCAGUUACAGAUUCCUUUGUUCCUUCUCUACUCUCACUGCUUCACUUGACCUGGCUUAA
Molecule: Y RNA, 102 nt
Filed under: Microcebus murinus (gray mouse lemur)
Lineage: Eukaryota; Metazoa; Chordata; Mammalia; Primates; Cheirogaleidae
Description: Y RNA (ENSMICG00000042225.1)
Rfam family: Y RNA
About the family: Y RNAs are components of the Ro ribonucleoprotein particle (Ro RNP), in association with Ro60 and La proteins. The Y RNAs and Ro60 and La proteins are well conserved, but the function of the Ro RNP is not known.
Source: Rfam by way of RNAcentral